UACGUAGGCAGCAAGCGUUGUUCGGAGUUACUGGGCGUAAAGGGUGUGUAGGCGGUUGUUUAAGUUUGGUGCGAAAUCUCCCGGCUCAACUGGGAGGGUGCGCCGAAUACUGAAUGACUUCGAGUGCGGGAGAGGAGAGUGGAAUUCCUGGUGUAGCGGUGAAAUGCGUAGAUAUCUGGAGGAACACCGGUGGCGAAGGCGGCAUCCUGGACCAACACUGACACUGAGGAGCGAAAGCCAGGGGAGCAAACGGG
RNAcentral lists this ribosomal RNA (254 nucleotides) under uncultured bacterium. Its description in RNAcentral is "partial 16S ribosomal RNA". It matches the Rfam family "Bacterial small subunit ribosomal RNA", at positions 524 to 776 of the family's 1533-position model. The record is from RNAcentral.